This is a long non-coding RNA of Oncorhynchus tshawytscha (Chinook salmon), 631 nucleotides long. NCBI's taxonomy places the organism in Eukaryota, Metazoa, Chordata, Actinopteri, Salmoniformes, Salmonidae. The record is from Ensembl.
GCAAAGUUCCGCUCCGCUGUUCCGACCUGCAGAGUUCCGCUCUGCUGUUCCGACCUGCAAAAUAAAGUUCAGAAACGGUUCAAACACCCAAACAGUUACGGUUAAUAUAGUUCCGUUCUGUUCCUUUUUAAACCUCUGAAAUCUUUUUUUUUUUUUUUUUUACAUUUAGCUCGACAUGAAAUCACUUCACCAAUCAGUGCAGAUAUAGCAGCUUGCUACGGAGCAGGUCAGAUAUAGCAGGUUGCUAUGGAGCAGGUCAGAUAUAGCAGGUCAGAUAUAGCAGCUUGCUAUGGAGCAGGUCAGACAUAACAGGUCAGAUAUAGCAGCUUGCUACGGAGCAGGUCAGAUAUAGCAGCUUGAUAUGGAGCAGGUGAGAUAUAGCAGGUUGCUAUGGAGCAGGUCAGAUAUAGCAGGUUGCUAUGGAGCAGGUCAGAUAAAGCAGGUUGCUAUGGAGCAGGUCAGAUAUAGCAGGUUGCUAUGGAGCCGGUCAGAUAUAGCAGCUUGCUACGGAGCAGGCCAGAUAGAGCAGCUUAAUAUGGAGCAGGUCAGAUAUAGCAGGUUGCCAAGGAGCAGGUCAGAUACAGCAGGUUGCUAUGGAGCAGGUCAGAUAUAGCAGCUUGAUAUGGAGCAG